GUGGGGAAUAUUGGACAAUGGGCGAAAGCCUGAUCCAGCCAUGCCGCGUGUGUGAAGAAGGUCUUCGGAUUGUAAAGCACUUUAAGUUGGGAGGAAGGGCAGUAAGUUAAUACCUUGCUGUUUUGACGUUACCGACAGAAUAAGCACCGGCUAACUUCGUGCCAGCAGCCGCGGUAAUACGAAGGGUGCAAGCGUUAAUCGGAAUUACUGGGAGUAAAGCGCGCGUAGGUGGUUUUGUAAGUUGGAGGUGAAAUCCCCGGGCUCAACCUGGGAACUGCCUCCAAAACUGCAUGACUAGAGUACGGUAGAGGGUAGUGGAAUUUCCUGUGUAGCGGUGAAAUGCGUAGAUAUAGGAAGGAACACCAGUGGCGAAGGCGACUACCUGGACUGAUACUGACACUGAGGUGCGAAAGCGUGGGGAGCAAACAGGAUUAGAUACCCGUGUAGUCC
Molecule: ribosomal RNA, 450 nt
Filed under: uncultured bacterium
Lineage: Bacteria
Description: bacterial SSU rRNA
Rfam family: Bacterial small subunit ribosomal RNA
Source: RNAcentral